This is a small nuclear RNA of Capsicum annuum, 161 nucleotides long. RefSeq annotates it as U1 spliceosomal RNA. NCBI's taxonomy places the organism in Eukaryota, Viridiplantae, Streptophyta, Magnoliopsida, Solanales, Solanaceae. The transcript has a single exon. The record is from RefSeq and is a predicted model, not a curated record.
GUACCUUCCAAUGGAAAAAGAAAGGGUAAUCAAUAAGACCCAUGGCCUAGGCUUGUGACCUCGAUUGUACUUUGGAGGGGUGCCUGCCUAAGGUUGGCCCAAUUGGUCGAGCCUAUAUCAUAAUUUAUGGUAGAGAGGGCCUGCGUUCACGUGGCCGCUGC